This 87-nucleotide transfer RNA is filed under the name Geoanaerobacter pelophilus. Its description in RNAcentral is "tRNA-Leu". It matches the Rfam family "tRNA". From Rfam's summary of the family: Transfer RNA (tRNA) molecules are approximately 80 nucleotides in length. Their secondary structure includes four short double-helical elements and three loops (D, anti-codon, and T loops). The record is from RNAcentral. Lineage: Bacteria; Pseudomonadati; Thermodesulfobacteriota; Desulfuromonadia; Geobacterales; Geobacteraceae.
GCCCGGGUGGCGGAAUUGGUAGACGCAAGGGACUUAAAAUCCCUCGCUCGCAAGGGCGUACCGGUUCGAUUCCGGUCCCGGGCACCA